Molecule: small nuclear RNA, 141 nt
Organism: Prolemur simus (greater bamboo lemur)
Lineage: Eukaryota; Metazoa; Chordata; Mammalia; Primates; Lemuridae
Gene: U4
Rfam family: U4 spliceosomal RNA
About the family: U4 small nuclear RNA (U4 snRNA) is a component of the major U2-dependent spliceosome.
Source: Ensembl
AGCUUUGCGCAGUGGCAGUAUCGUAGCCAAUGAGGUUUAUCCGAGGCGCGAUUAUUGCUAAUUGAAAACUUUUCCCAAUACUCCACUGUGACGACUUGAAAUACAGUCGGCAUUGGCAAUUUUUGAUGCUCCCUAUGGGGA